Molecule: non-coding RNA, 107 nt
Organism: Gossypium hirsutum (cotton)
Lineage: Eukaryota; Viridiplantae; Streptophyta; Magnoliopsida; Malvales; Malvaceae
Source: Rfam
AACCCAUGGUGAGGGCACCUUUGUAAUAGGUCCUUGUAUCUCCCCCAUGCAUCAUAAAGUAUUUCUAGAUCCAUAUGCACAAAAGAAGAGAUAUCAUUCGUCAACUU